GCCUCCAUAGCUCAGGGGUUAGAGCACUAGUCUUGUAAACUAGGGGUCGAGAGUUCAAAUCUCUCUGGGGGCA
This 73-nucleotide transfer RNA is filed under the name Danaus plexippus (monarch butterfly). RNAcentral describes it as "misc RNA ENSDPXG00000018341.1". It matches the Rfam family "tRNA". Rfam says of the family: Transfer RNA (tRNA) molecules are approximately 80 nucleotides in length. Their secondary structure includes four short double-helical elements and three loops (D, anti-codon, and T loops). The record is from RNAcentral. RNAcentral also lists the same sequence under 2 other names. Lineage: Eukaryota; Metazoa; Arthropoda; Insecta; Lepidoptera; Nymphalidae.